UCAUUUUCAGAAAGUGAGGCAAAAUGUAACAACUCACAGAACCCCAUGGAGCAUUCCAGUGACAAAAACCAGGCUGUGUGGAGCUCCAGGCCGGCGUGUGCCUAUUUUCGCCUGGGUCACGGGUCUAGGCUGGGAUUCCGCGUCUGUGCACUGCUUGUCACGGUAGUGUGAGCCGAGGAGACGCUCAUCAAGCAGGUGAUCUCAGCACGAGAUGCUCACAAUGCGAGCCCCAGUGCCUCUAACAAAGGCAGACCGCAUUAACUCCCCGGUGUGGCUGUGUGUGAGCCCUGAGAUGCUGCUGCUCACAGUAAUGUUAACAACUGAAUGAUUAUGUGAAGAUUCUGUAAUUUUCAUAUGGCCUCUUAAAAAACUAUUGUGACACUUAGAAAUCUGAUCUUUAAACAGUUGAAGACUGAAAAUAUAUUAAAUUCUGUCCUCAAUGUCAAGAUUUCAAUUGUGGGAUGAGCAAAGCGGAUUUCAGAGCCUUUGGUGAUGCAUCCAAGGCCCCGCAAUGGGGAGGUGGCAGAGGCUGGAUUUCAGUGCAGCUCUUCUUACUGCAAAGAUCUGUAUCAUGCACCACUCUGAACCCACCAGCCUCCACUGAUGGAG
This 609-nucleotide long non-coding RNA is filed under the name Homo sapiens (human). RNAcentral describes it as "HSALNT0198895". The record is from RNAcentral. Lineage: Eukaryota; Metazoa; Chordata; Mammalia; Primates; Hominidae.